RNAcentral lists this small nuclear RNA (103 nucleotides) under Petromyzon marinus (sea lamprey). The record is from RNAcentral. Lineage: Eukaryota; Metazoa; Chordata; Hyperoartia; Petromyzontiformes; Petromyzontidae.
GUGCUCCGGCAGUACAUAUACUAAAAUUGGAACGAUACAGAGAAGAUUAGCAUGGCCCCUGCGCAAGGAUGACACGCAGAUUCGUGAAGCGUUCCAUAUUUUA